Molecule: long non-coding RNA, 596 nt
Filed under: Mus spicilegus (steppe mouse)
Lineage: Eukaryota; Metazoa; Chordata; Mammalia; Rodentia; Muridae
Description: lncRNA (ENSMSIG00000021327.1)
Source: RNAcentral
AUCUGAUCCCAACGACUUUUUCUUUUCUCUUUUCUUUUGGCCACUAUGCUACAUGCCAAUCCACUUGUAGAGUUUGUUGGAAAUAGUAUAAAAGGUAAAACAUGAAUUAAGAGGGAAACUUUAUGUGACGCCAGGCAAGAUAAAGAGUGGACUGGAAUGGCUGAGAAGGGAAGAGUUCCUUAGUGUAUCACUUGAAGAAGCUCAGGGGUCUAAAGGUCAGACAUCCUGAGAACUCGUGUCUGUUGUGAGAAGUACAGAGAGAAGUAAGAGGAAGUCUCGUGCGCUCACUGCCUGCCUUCUUCUCAUCUAACUGGAGACACUGCCAGCAAUCACUCUGGCUUUUCCUUGGCGAGUUCCUCCGGAAUGAUAAAUACCUUCAAAAAGUUGCCAACGUGACUGCAAAGCUGGUUAUUGGCUGGCGGGAAGGAAAAGAUAUAUCAGAUGCUGGGGUGAAACACCAAGUGUGCUUAUUGAAGCAUUGUUCUUAAUCACGGAAAGCAGGCAUGGCAGGUAAUUUUUUGAAAUAUUAAAUCGUGUUUUGCUUUUCUGGGUAUAAAAAAUUAAAAGAAAAAGAAUGAGUUGAUGUUGCAUUUUAU